RNAcentral lists this unclassified non-coding RNA (644 nucleotides) under Pachytrechodes brevis. RNAcentral's name for it is "partial contains 16S ribosomal RNA (rrnL) and tRNA-Leu (trnL)". The stretch from base 339 to 497 matches the Rfam family "Bacterial large subunit ribosomal RNA", at positions 2473 to 2632 of the family's 2925-position model. The record is from RNAcentral. Lineage: Eukaryota; Metazoa; Arthropoda; Insecta; Coleoptera; Carabidae.
AAUGGCCGCAGUAUUUUAACUGUGCAAAGGUAGCAUAAUCAUUAGUUUUUUAAUUGAAAGCUUGUAUGAAAGGUUGGAUGAAGUAAAUUCUGUCUUUAUAUAAUUUAAAUUAGAAUUUAAUUUUUAAGUUAAAAAGCUUAAAUUUUUUUAAAAGACAAGAAGACCCUAUAGAGUUUUAUAUUUUUAAUUUAAAUUUAUUUUUUGAUAUAUUUAUUUUUUAAGUAAAAGAAUAUUUUAUUGGGGUAAUAGGAAGAUAAUAAUAAUUCUUUUUUUUUUAUACAUAAAUAAAUGAAAUAAAUGAUCCAUUAUUAAUGAUUAUAAGAUUAAAUUACCUUAGGGAUAACAGCGUAAUUUUUUUAGAGAGUUCGUAUCGAUAAAAGAGUUUGCGACCUCGAUGUUGGAUUAAAGAUUAAUUUAGGUGCAAAAGUUUAAAUGUUUGGUCUGUUCGACCAUUAAAUCUUUACAUGAUCUGAGUUCAGACCGGUGUAAGCCAGGUUGGUUUCUAUCUUUAAUUAUUUAAUAUAUUUUAGUACGAAAGGACCAAAUAUUUAUUAUAAUAAUUUAUAUUUUGAAAAUUAGUGUUAUUUUGGCAGAUUAGUGUAAUGAAUUUAGAAUUCAUAAAUGUAAUUAUUUACAAAUAAUAU